UCCUGGGUAUUAAUGUGCAGCUGGAGUUGUAAUUGCAGGGGAAUUCUAUAAAAAGAAAACAGAAGGCCAUGUUCCUGUUUAGAGUGGUAUAUAGGUUGGUAUAGGUUGAAAAAAGUCAAUCUGUAGCAAUCGGCCGGUGCUCAACUCGGCCGAGCUAACGGAUUUUGUGAACUUCACACCCAAGGUACAAACCAUCCCCCACGAACCUGUAGUGCUGGAUAUAUUGAUGAUUCCAGACUAGUAAGAACUGCAGAACUCACAAAGAGAAUGUCCGCUGCCGUUGGUGAAUGACUUCAAACUUUAAAUUGAGAAAUCUGUCGAUAUAUCUGCUCUGCUACUGCACCUGUUGAAGAACUUUAUGUUUGAUUUUGCAGGGUUAGGGUGGGGAGUCAUCCAGCAGAUAUAACACCAUGUCCCAGCAGGGUGGGGGUACUCGAGCAAAUGAUAAGAGGAUAUGCAGAUAAGUUGGGUGAACAUGUGGUAGAGCCAGCACUAGGUUUGACAUUGGAGAAAAUCAACAAAGACCAGGCGGGAAAUGAUGCUAGCAAGACAAUAGAUAUGUUUGCGGAGAUACUCCCUCCAGUCCUUUUUACUCCGCGUAUUAGAUUUGCAUCCGGUCAAACAUUGCAAAGUUUGACCAUAUUUAUAUUAAAAAAUACCAAUGCCUAUAAUACCAAAUAUAUAUACUAUGAAACUACAUUUCAUAAUGAAUCUAACAAUAUUGAUCUGGCAUUGUGAAUGCUGAUACUUUUUUUCUAUAUGUUUGGUCAAAGUAGAGAUACUUUGACUUUGGACAAAACUUAUAAGCACUUUGGCCAAGGACUGUGAAUUCCUGUUUAGAGUGCAACCUGAUGUUGGGAGCCAUUUUUUUCAGUCGUGUUGGGAGCCAUAUUAAGAGUCUGAUGUGGGCUACCAGUAGCAGCCGUGACCACAUAGGAAGAAAACCUGCUCAAAUCCUCUGGGUGAAAAUUUUACAGCAAUCCAGGUGUAACAGGUCCUUGUAAUGCAUAAUUCAGCAAGUCUGAAAAUCAGUUGUUUUCUUUUUUCCUGUGGGGUGGGUGUACUCCAGAACUAGGAAGUUCUGUUUGUAGUAGAAUGCUGUGAUAGAUGUGGAGACAUAAAAUGACGCUUACGGGAUGUUUUAUUUGACUGAACUGAUUUUGAUUCUGUUUGAGAAAUUGUGUAUCAGGCGAUUUCUUGAGACAUGCAGUUCUGGGAGUUGGGCUUGGC
RNAcentral lists this long non-coding RNA (1230 nucleotides) under Triticum aestivum (bread wheat). RNAcentral describes it as "long non-coding RNA (TAES_LNC021991)". The record is from RNAcentral. Lineage: Eukaryota; Viridiplantae; Streptophyta; Magnoliopsida; Poales; Poaceae.